UAUAUAUAUAUUAUUCGAGUAAUAAUUUGAGACUGGGUAUUUAAGUGCUACUUACCCAUAUUCAAUUCAACUUUAUAAUAAAUAUUCCUUAGCUUUCGUAUUUCAAAGUGCUGUCAUUAUUGGAGUGCUAAAUAUGCUUCUUAAAAUAAAAUAAGAGACGUUUUGAAAAAUCCGCUGCCGAAAAUCAAGUGACUGGAAUGGUCCUGUGUAGUAUUAAAAAACAGAAGAGUUGUUGAAACGUACGAAGCUUUUGUCGCAAACAUAUCAAUCAAUGCAUGGGCGCGUUCAUGAGUAUGUGAAUCCGUGUGGUCAAUUGUCGAUGCGAUUCUAGUAAUAAUGUACAAAUUAAUCUCUAUACGAAUUACAGUGCGAAUAUUAUUGUUUACACUUACUGUGUAGUUGUUAAGUUAAGUCUAGUUUGCGGAUGUACCAUACAAUUAGUUAAUUUUAGGAUUGAUUUGUUACAAAUAGUAUAGUGAUUGCGAAUGCAUUGUACAGUCACCUUCAUAAUAUAUAUAUAAGUAUACCAGACGGUGCUUCAUAUUAAUGUUUGUUUUAAUGAAGUUUCUAGAAGUAAUAAUUUUAAAUGAAAAUAACAGUUGCAAUUUAUUUGUUUGAACAUUACUCAAACACGUUUAAUAAGUACCUAAAUUAUAUUGUGUAGACCCCUUAAUGUCUUACUUAAUUAUAAAGGUGACUGUACAACAAGUAUGUUUUUUAUUUUGUUAAUGCUCAUUUUAUUACGUUUUUAAGAGUCUAGUCAUCAGUUACGAUUUACAAAUGAAAAAAAACAUUAUAAUUGCUCUUAUCGCAUUUUUAUCAUGCUGUUGACAUUUUGUAUCAGAUUGUUUUAUACAAGUGGGGUUUUGUGUAAUAACCUGUUCUGCAUUGCAAUUUAAAUUUUAACAAUGAGAAUUGAGUAUAGCUGUUAACCAAUAUAGAUUUAUUAGUUUUAAGUUACCUUUAAGAAUAUUUUCUUCUAAAAUAUGCGGGCAUAAUUAUUUUAUUAAUUUUUACUUUAAACAGACAUUUGUAUAUGUUUCAUUUCACAAUUUUAAGAUGAAUCGUGUUAUUGUUGACAUAUUACAAAAUAUAAUUUUUCCUCAAAGGGAACUUACUGUAUGACAGAUUAUAGUAUGUAUAAAUAAAUGUAAAUGUUUGUGAUAAAAGGAAAAGCACAAUUUUAAUAAAGCCUAAUGAGACAUUGUUGUAAGGUCAUUGUCGUAAGUCUCGCGGUAGAUGAUGCAUCCUAGAUAUAUACAGGGUGGCCCACCCAAACCGUUCAGUAUGGGGAUUUCAGAAAAUAUAAGAGAUAGAAGAAUAUCUUCUAAGGAACCACGAUAUCGAUUUUAGAGAAAACAAAAACUGCAAUCAUAGAUUUUCAAAAAAAAAUCAUACACGACUCGGGAAUCGAACCCGGUCAUAAAUGAAAAAAAAUACAUUUUUGUUUUAUAGCCAUAUUGAUAGUGUACGUUGUAAGGAGUGAUUGUUGCUAUGAAACCUAGUGUCUAAAAUUAAAAGAAAUUGCUUUAUUUGAUAUUGUUUCAUGUAAGUUGUCGGUUUUACUCAUUAAAAAAUGUAGGCAAUAACCAAUCGUCAUGCUGUCUGGGUAUACCCAGUACUUACUUAUAUAGUAUAGUAUAGUUGUAGUUUUACUGGUAUACUGGUAUACCAGUAAAAAGAUAUUAUUUUGCUGUUAUUUAAAAAUGGAAUGUGAACUUCUAAGAUUGCCGAAUUUCAAUUUUAAAAAUGAACGCUUAAUGUCUGCGUACCAGUAAAACUAUGUUUUUGCUGUUAUUUGAAAAUGGAACGUGAACAUUUUAAUUUCAGACACAAAAUUUCAUAGCAACAAUCACUUCUUACAACCUGCAAAUGUGGCUGUACUGCUACAAAUAUGGCUUUAAAACAAAAAUGUAUUUUUUUCCAAAAUGACCGGGUUCAAUUCCCGAGUCGUGUAUGAUUUUUUUUUGAAAAUCUAUGAUUGCAGUUUUUGUUUUCUCUAAAAUCGAUAUCGUGGUUCCUUAGAAGAUAUUCUUCUAUCUCUUAUAUAUUUUAAAAUCUCCAUACUGACCGGUUUGGGUGGGCCUGUAUACCGGUUCAAGCUAUUAAGUGAAAAACGGUUUCCAUGUUCAAAAUAUACAACAUUAUAAUUAGAAUAUUAAACUUUGUUUUAUUAUGAAGUUGCAACUUUCAAUACAAUUUUAUAUAAUGUUUUACAAUCAGAAGAAAGAAUAAUCUUUAAUUUAACAUAGAUGAAAAUACACACUGUGUGAUAUUUAUAAAUUUUCAAAUCGAUUGUUAUAUCAUUUUGUCCAAACGUUAGAAAUGCCGCAAUCGUCAUUAUAAUUUAUCUAUAUUGACUUCACUGACUAAUAUCAAACAAAGUACUAGUUAAUGCUAUGAGUGAUUUGAAUAUGAUUUUCUUAUGAUUAUAACGAUACAAUGUUGCAACUACAUAGUGAACUAAAAGUUUUUCACGUAGGAAUCAAUUUAAUAUAUUAUUGUAUGUUUCACAUUCGAUGCCUUGCUUCAAUUGAACACUAGUUGAGAAUAAUCGUGUUUCGUUUUCAAAUGUCUUCUACCUACAUAUAGCACUACUUGAUGCCACAAGGGCACACUAUCGGUCAUCGAUAGUUUUCUAUUGACUUCGUAGAGAGGAGUAACAUGCCGUUCACUGUGUCGCAUCGCCAUUAGUACUAUCAUUAUCUUUAAAAAUGGUUGUGAAAUAUCCAAGACUUAAUUUAUACGUCGCUUACAGAUAGAUACACUGAAUGCAUGUUCCUCCCGAAUUUUUACAUUCAAUUUGUGAAAACUUAGAAUCACUUCGCCGCGUAUUUAUCGAAUAUUUUUUAGUGUUUCGCCGAUCGGAGAUGGCAUUUCUACACUAUUUUAAGCCUGAUUAAUUCUUGAUACUAGAAAAGGUAUUUUAUGAGAACUUAGUGCGAAAUUUUUAAUGCUAUCUCCCUAUGGUUAAAUGCUCCUAAAAUAUUGCAUUUGGAAUGUAUGUUAAUUAUAUAUUAGGGGUUGCAAAGUAUUGUGACCGCGACUGUACAUGAUUGUAUGAGAGUUGAUACAACGUGGCCAUGUAGCAUGUGUAAGCAUUUUUGACAUUGAACGUGAAUGCACAAAGUUGUUGAGGAGGGUUUUUGCUGUAAAUGUUUCCGUGGUUUGUUUUAUUUAAACCAAAUGUACAUAUUAUGUGUGAUAGAGAUGAAACGGUCUCAUUUCAAAAUAAAUUUGUUGUAAGUA
Long non-coding RNA from Leptidea sinapis, 3249 nucleotides. RefSeq lists it as uncharacterized. The record is from RefSeq and is a predicted model, not a curated record. The transcript has 2 exons. Lineage: Eukaryota; Metazoa; Arthropoda; Insecta; Lepidoptera; Pieridae.